CAACACUCAUCCCUCAUGUUUUUCCUUUAACCCUAACAUUUGAACCCAUCAACCACUUUCAACCCUCUCAAUGCCGUGAAACUCAGCCUCUCGCCCACUCUGUAUUCACCGUGAAGCCAACCCUAACGUUUGAACCCAUCACCCACUCUGUAUUCACCGUGAAGCUUAGCCUCUCGCGGCCGCAUCACUCUUUCAAUCACGUCCCUCACUCUCGCGCAUGUCACCCAGUCUGAACCCUAGCUCUCAAACCCGUCACCUACUCCGUCCUUGCCGUCAACCUCAACCUCUCGUUGCCGCAUCACUUUUUACCUCGCCUAACUCACUCUCGCGGCCUCACCGUUUCCCUCACUCUCAGUUUCGCCGUCUCACUGUUGUCUCUGGUCUAUUCUGAAUGACCAUUUACAAUAUGUGUACUCAAAAGCCUCCUCAUGACUAUUCCCAACAAUUGUAUGAUAAGUACAAGGAGUCAUUUGAAGAGUACAUCAGAUCAACAGUAUUACCUUCUUUGAGAGAGAAGCAUGAUGAAUUUAUGUUGCGAGAACUUGUGAGGAGGUGGGCAAACCAUAAAAUUAUGGUUAGAUGGCUUUCUCGUUUCUUUCACUAUUUGGAUCGAUAUUUUAUUGCCCGGAGGUUACUUCCACCGCUUAAUGAAGUUGGGCUGACUUGCUUCCGUGAUUCUGUGUCAGUUUUUAUUAGUUAUUCUUGUUAAGGUUACAACUCAUAAAUGCAGCUAGUUUUGUAGUGCUACUGCUAACUAGACCUGCUUCACAUUAUCAUUUCAUUAUAAUGUUGCUUCCUUAAAAGAUAAAUCAUUAAUGUGUGAUUUUUAUUGUUUCCAUUCCAGGUUUACAAGGAACUAAAUGGGAAAGUGAGAGAUUGAUCAAGAACGUCAAGGAGAGCAGAUUGAUCGAGCUCUAUUAAAAAAUGUAUUAGAUAUAUUUGUCGAAAUUGGAAUGGGGCAAAUGGAUCACUAUGAGAAUGAUUUUGAAGCUGCCAUGCUCAACGACACGUCUGCAUAUUAUUGUCGAAAGGCUUCAAACUGGAUCCUAGAAGAUUCUUGUCCUGGUUAUAUGCUCCAGGUGCAUAUGCUAGAUAUGGAAUGUUUUUCCUAUCUUAAUCGUGCUUUAGAGAGCUCCCUAUCUCCAAUAGUAAUCUUUGCCACAAAUAGAGGAAUAUGCACCGUAAGGUAUGAUUGAAAUAAAAUUUCUUAUAAAGUUUUGGUGAAGUGGAAAAUUUGGAGAAACUACAUAAAUAAAUAUGAUUACUUGUAUUGUAGCUCAUCAUUUUUGGUGUGUUAAGUUGAUUAGUCUUCUUGGGUGGUCUAUGCAUGACCUAGAAGACACUUGAUUUUGCAGUAUCUUAAUGGACCAUGUCUCAGUUUUCAUGAUUUGUUAAGGAAUAGAAGUUCCUUAACACAAAAUCGCAAUCACAUUAAUUAGUAGUUAGAUUGAUAUGAUCCCAUAUUAAUUAUUUUUAUCAUGAUUAAAUUUGAGGCUAAAAUCAGUUAGUAGUUUA
Molecule: non-coding RNA, 1515 nt
Organism: Cicer arietinum (chickpea)
Lineage: Eukaryota; Viridiplantae; Streptophyta; Magnoliopsida; Fabales; Fabaceae
Source: RefSeq, a predicted model, not a curated record